GCGACCGUUCCGCCUUGGUAUGUUUUGACCCCUUACAUAUCGCACGAAGCAAAGCGCUCAGGCCUGGGCAGGUUGCCGUGGCAACGCUUCGCACAGCCCUGGCUGGUAGAGCUGUGAAGGAUUUUGAAUGCCAGGCAGCCAGUAGGGUACAGGGUACAGUACAGGGUAAGCUCGCUUUUAUGCUGUUAUUGAGAAUUUGAUUGAAUGAGCAGGCGUUGUAAACUAUUCUAUGCAUCAAAAAGCCCUAUGUUCUGCGCAGUGCUCCUCCCUCCGAGUCCAGUGACUUUUUAAUAACUCACUUUUCUAAAGUUUUAACUUGGAUUUCUGUCACGUUUAAACGCCACCGCUCCUGGAUCUCUCUCUAUGCUGUGCCCUGCCUAGUAUUUCUGAGUCCCCUGAAAUAGGCUGUCUGCAUUCUCUUUUUUAAUGCACUGGGCCCUUUCUUUCAAAUUAGUCAGUUUGUUUCAGAUCUUGUCAUUUCUGCUAUAGGUGACUGCUCAAGAUGUGGCUUCCUGUAGUUCAGAGAAGCUUAUGUAGUAGUGUUAAGAAUAAACAGGUGUGGAACAUAUGGCCUAUAUUUGAAUAGUUGUGGGAAUAACUGUGGGAACAUGGAGCAGCAAGAAUAAGCUGUGGGACCAAUGGGCUGUGGGAACAUAGAGCAGCUGACCCCCAACAGGGUCUUCAUGGUUGUAUGACCUGAAUACAUUUUCAAAGCGGAGCCACAGGAUGCGGACUUCUACUCUUUUCCACUAUUAGACGCGCCUUUGUCCUGCACCUGGCCUCAGCGAGGUGGGAUGUGCAUACUCUUACUUUUAUAAAAAUGUUGUAUAUUGACCACUAAUUCUGUGCAUGCUGUCAUACAGAGAUGAUGACCCAUUCCUGAAGUUGGACGCCAGAAUGCAGGAAGGUGCUGUUUAAGAGCCUAGGCGGUGGAAGAAGCACUUGCAGCUAUGCUACCGACCAGGCUCCUCAACAUCAAUCCGAGACGGAAGAUGAACCGGGAUGAAGCAGUUAGAUUGAGACAAGGCGGCCGGAAACUUUGAUGACCUCAAUGACACUGGCUAGGUGAAGGACAUCAAGAAAAUGGCAUCCGGUCACCAGACAUCAGCUCAUAAGCCACAACGUCAUCAACCAUUUUGCGCCAAAAAUGAAGCCGUUCACAUACCAUGGCAUCCUAAGCAGGCAGCACCACACUACUGUGCAACAGUGAGAGAGAGCGGGCAAGGACAAGUAAAACGGACCUACACUACAGCAAGACUUUGACACUUCUCCACGUGAGAGGCAGCCAUCGCCCCCACCGUGGAGCAGUGUGUACCCAGUACCCCCAAAAGAGGAGAUGAUCCGACGCCAUCACAGCCGAUUUCCAAAAUUGUACACCAAACUCUGUAUGGGCGUGUGUGUGUGUGUGUGUGUGUGUGUGUGUG
This is a long non-coding RNA of Engraulis encrasicolus (European anchovy), 1424 nucleotides long. RefSeq lists it as uncharacterized. The transcript has 4 exons. Lineage: Eukaryota; Metazoa; Chordata; Actinopteri; Clupeiformes; Engraulidae. The record is from RefSeq and is a predicted model, not a curated record.